GCGUCCAUAGUUCAACUGGAUAGAAUGACAGGUUUCGACCCGGUAGGUUGUGGGUUCGACUCCUACUGGGUCA
Molecule: transfer RNA, 73 nt
Filed under: Aliarcobacter thereius
Lineage: Bacteria; Pseudomonadati; Campylobacterota; Epsilonproteobacteria; Campylobacterales; Arcobacteraceae
Also listed under: 1 other name
Description: Arcobacter thereius tRNA-Arg
Rfam family: tRNA
About the family: Transfer RNA (tRNA) molecules are approximately 80 nucleotides in length.
Source: RNAcentral